RNAcentral lists this long non-coding RNA (1682 nucleotides) under Canis lupus familiaris (dog). RNAcentral's name for it is "lncRNA (ENSCAFG00845017341.1)". The record is from RNAcentral. Lineage: Eukaryota; Metazoa; Chordata; Mammalia; Carnivora; Canidae.
UUUUUUUUUUUUUUUUUUUUACCUUUGAGAAAGAAGUACAGGAGGAGUAACUUCACCAAGAGGCUAGAAGACAGAGACUGAAGCGAAGUUGACAGAAAUGGCCAAAGGACUUUAAGCACUGAUAAAUCUAGUAUUUGCUUAUUUUUUUCUAGCAUCAUGGUUACCUUAACCCACUGGCAUACUCCGCAGCAUUUUAUAACGAUCACAUAGGUACAGUAACUGGGUUAUCUAGUUGGAAAAGAGACAACAUAUGUAAAACCCCAAGAUAGUCCAUAGGUUGACAUAGUACAAAAAAAAGAAGCUCGAGGAACCAGCAACCAGGAAAGCCAUCCCACUCUUACUCCUCAUGCUGCCAUGGAUAUGAAUUAAACCUGUUUCCUUUGUAGGGUCAUCAUUAGCAGAAAUCUUGGCUUUUUAUUUUAUUUUAUUUUUUUUACUUCCUGCUUUGCCAACAGGGUAUGAAGCUAAUAGUACACAGUUAAAAAAAAAAAUCUGUUUGAACUAUUUGGCCAUUUUCAUUAAUGCAGAAAGAAAAUUCAGAUGCACAGAGUGGCUGAGGUUCAGUCAGUUUUAGAAAUCUGCUCUCAGUCACUAGAGAUGUAUCUCUCAGGUACCUUAUUUCCCAAUAUAUAAUUAAACCUUUGCUCACAAUUAAUAUUUCUUGUCACUUGUCAGUGGAAACUAGAAGGAUACCUAUAAGAGACAGAAUAAGAAUACAGUGAAUAAUGGCUUUAGUGAUUUAUACGGGCAGAAAAAAACAUUUACCUUGAGAAAAAUCCAGAUGGGUGUUUUUGUUUAACACUUACUCAUAUGUCAUUUAACAUAGUUCAAUAUCAUUUUUCACUAGCUUGAUACCAUCUAGCCUCUAGUUACUUUUUUCUUUUUUCUUUUGAAGGGACCAUGUGAGUGUUUUUUUACUGAGUUUCUCUACGGAGCAGUUUAUAAGAAAAGCUAUAAGAUUAAUGAAUAUGAACUUCCUCCAGUGAUACGAGUAGAUAGAAACUGUGGGAAACAGAUCUGUAAAGAAUGCAGUACUGGCUAAUCUAGGCUGAACUUCCAAUGCUUACAGCUAGGAGAAUUCAAGGGACACUUAGUAAAUCUGUUGGAGCGAUUUAGGCUAAAGUUCCAUAAUUGCUCAAUAAUAAUAUUCAUCAUCUGCUAUUUGGAAAGCACACAAUUAGGCACUGUGGAAAGCAAAUAUGAAGAAAACACAGCCUUAUAUUUAGAGAUUGUAUCAUCUAGGGUCAAAAUCUGGUUUAUAAUCUGGGCAUUAAGUUAACAACGUCAGAAAGUGCCCUAAAUCACACUACCGAAUUCUAGGAUUCGGAGGAAGACAUGUCAUUUUCUGUGGCUUGAUCUGGGGACAUAACAUUUGAACUAGACACUGGGGUUGGGUUGGAUUUAACAGGUCAGCACAGGGAAGACGAGAAAGUGGAGAGAGAAAUCCUAGGUAGAAUGAAUGACAUGUGUCUGCCUCCAAAAAUCUCUCUUCAAUUUGCCUCUGAGCAUCACUACCCUUGUACUUACCAGGUGUCCAUUGUACUUAACAACUGUCCUUAGUAAUUGUACUUAGUGAUUGUGCUUAACAGUUACUCUUGUUACUUCCUGCUUGCCCUUAUGGCAACUGCCUCCUUAGUAGUUCUUCUUCCUUUGCUAAUAUAUUCUUUGAAAGCAUCGUCGCA